Molecule: long non-coding RNA, 592 nt
Filed under: Mytilus galloprovincialis (Mediterranean mussel)
Lineage: Eukaryota; Metazoa; Mollusca; Bivalvia; Mytilida; Mytilidae
Source: RNAcentral
UUGUAUGUCCGUAGUUGAUGUUUCUGAUAUAGGUGUUGUCUAUUUGUAUGUCCGUGGUUUAUAAUUCUGAUAUAGAUGUUGUCUAUUUGUAUGUCCGUAGUUUAUGUUUCUGAUCAUUGUGUUGAUUGUUUGUAUGUCCGUAGUUUAUGUUUCUGAUACAGGUGUUGAAUGGUUUUCUGUAUGUCUGUCCGUAAUUUAUGUUUUUGAUCAAGGUGUUUACUGUUUGUAUGUCUGUAGUUUAUCUUUUUAUUUUAUCAAUGUAUUGUCUGUUUGUAAACUGUCGUUUUGUUUUUCGAUCAAAGUGUUUGUCUGUUUGUCUGUCCGUAGUUUAUGUUUUUGAUCAAGGUGUUUACUGUUUGUAUGUCCGUAGUUUAUAUGUUUUUUCGUCAAUGUAUUGUCUGUUUGUAAACUGUCGUUUCGUUUUUUGAUCAAGAUGUUGUUUGUUUUUCCUUGGCGAGUGAAUAUUUAGUGUCCUCGUGAUAUACUCUAUCUGCUAAUAUGUUCACAAUUUACAAUGUAAACUGCUAAGUUUUAAUGAUUAUCAACUUGAACCAACUUUCUAAAAAAAACAUUAAAACAUAAAAGAAAAAAA